This 466-nucleotide ribosomal RNA is filed under the name uncultured bacterium. RNAcentral describes it as "partial 16S ribosomal RNA". It matches the Rfam family "Bacterial small subunit ribosomal RNA", at positions 28 to 506 of the family's 1533-position model. The record is from RNAcentral.
GAUGAACGCUGGCGGCGCGCCUAACACAUGCAAGUCGAACGAUUAAAGCACCUUCGGGUGUGUAUAAAGUGGCGAACGGCUGAGUAACACGUGGGCAACCUGCCCCUUUCAUUGGGAUAGCCACGGGAAACCGUGGAUAAUACCGAAUACUUCGAGACUUCUGCAUGGAAGACUCGAGAAAGCUCCGGCGGAGAGGGAUGGGCCCGCGGCCUGUUAGCUUGUUGGUGGGGUAACGGCCUACCAAGGCAAUGAUGGGUAGCUGGGUUGAGAGACCGACCAGCCAGAUUGGGACUGAGACACGGCCCAGACUCCUACGGGAGGCAACAGUGGGGAAUCUUGCACAAUGGGCGAAAGCCUGAUGCAGCGACGCCGCGUGCGGGAUGAAGGCCUUCGGGUGGUAAACCGCUUUCAGCAGGGACGAGGCGAAAGUGGCGGUACCGGCAGAAGAAGCCCCGGCUAACUACGU